GUGUACAGCCAUGCCACCCUGAGCACGCCUGAUCUCGUUGGGCCUGGUUAGUGUUUGGAUGGGGGAACACCUGGGAACACCUGGUGCUGUUUGGG
Molecule: ribosomal RNA, 95 nt
Filed under: Amphilophus citrinellus (Midas cichlid)
Lineage: Eukaryota; Metazoa; Chordata; Actinopteri; Cichliformes; Cichlidae
Source: RNAcentral